Myodes glareolus (Bank vole) is the source of this 107-nucleotide small nuclear RNA. The record is from RefSeq and is a predicted model, not a curated record. Lineage: Eukaryota; Metazoa; Chordata; Mammalia; Rodentia; Cricetidae.
CUGAUCGCUUUGGCAACACAGUCACAAAAACGCAAAUGAUAUAGAGAAGAUCAGCAUGGCCCCUGAGCAAAAAUGACACGCAAGUUCGAGAAGUGUUCCACGUUUUU